RNAcentral lists this ribosomal RNA (954 nucleotides) under Salmonella enterica subsp. enterica serovar Altona. Its description in RNAcentral is "partial 23S ribosomal RNA". It matches the Rfam family "Bacterial large subunit ribosomal RNA", at positions 580 to 1452 of the family's 2925-position model. The record is from RNAcentral. Lineage: Bacteria; Pseudomonadati; Pseudomonadota; Gammaproteobacteria; Enterobacterales; Enterobacteriaceae.
CAGGUUUACCUGUGUGACUGCGUACCUUUUGUAUAAUGGGUCAGCGACUUAUAUUCUGUAGCAAGGUUAACCGAAUAGGGGAGCCGGAGGGAAACCGAGUCUUAAUUGGGCGUUAAGUUGCAGGGUAUAGACCCGAAACCCGGUGAUCUAGCCAUGGGCAGGUUGAAGGUUGGGUAACACUAACUGGAGGACCGAACCGACUAAUGUUGAAAAAUUAGCGGAUGACCUGUGGCUGGGGGUGAAAGGCCAAUCAAACCGGGAGAUAGCUGGUUCUCCCCGAAAGCUAUUUAGGUAGCGCCUCGUGAAUUCAUCUCCGGGGGUAGAGCACUGUUUCGGCUAGGGGGCCAUCCCGGCUUACCAACCCGAUGCAAACUGCGAAUACCGGAGAAUGUUAUCACGGGAGACACACGGCGGGUGCUAACGUCCGUCGUGAAGAGGGAAACAACCCAGACCGCCAGCUAAGGUCCCAAAGUCAUGGUUAAGUGGGAAACGAUGUGGGAAGGCCCAGACAGCCAGGAUGUUGGCUUAGAAGCAGCCAUCAUUUAAAGAAAGCGUAAUAGCUCACUGGUCGAGUCGGCCUGCGCGGAAGAUGUAACGGGGCUAAACCAUGCACCGAAGCUGCGGCAGCGAACGUAUCACUUAAAGCGAUUCAGCGGGUUACGAUUGAUGGAGCGAAGCGACGUCAAAGCGUAUACAAAGUCGAGUCGGUUUAAGGAUACGUUCGUUGGGUAGGGGAGCGUUCUGUAAGCCUGUGAAGGUGGCCUGUGAGGGUUGCUGGAGGUAUCAGAAGUGCGAAUGCUGACAUAAGUAACGAUAAAGCGGGUGAAAAGCCCGCUCGCCGGAAGACCAAGGGUUCCUGUCCAACGUUAAUCGGGGCAGGGUGAGUCGACCCCUAAGGCGAGGCCGAAAGGCGUAGUCGAUGGGAAACGGGUUAAUAUUCCCGUACUUGGUGUU